AGCAGUAGCCGCGGUAAUACGUAGGUGGCGAGCGUUGUCCGGAAUCAUUGGGCGUAAAGGGAGCGCAGGCGGGCAUGUAAGUCUUUCUUAAAAGUGCGGGGCUCAACCCCGUGAUGGGAAAGAAACUACAUGUCUUGAGUACAGGAGAGGAAAGCGGAAUUCCCAGUGUAGCGGUGAAAUGCGUAGAUAUUGGGAGGAACACCAGUGGCGAAGGCGGCUUUCUGGACUGCAACUGACGCUGAGGCUCGAAAGCCAGGGGAGCGAACGGGAUUAGAUACCCGCGUAGUCCCUGUCUCUUAUACA
RNAcentral lists this ribosomal RNA (303 nucleotides) under uncultured bacterium. Its description in RNAcentral is "partial 16S ribosomal RNA". It matches the Rfam family "Bacterial small subunit ribosomal RNA", at positions 507 to 809 of the family's 1533-position model. The record is from RNAcentral.